UUCAGGAUUCAAUUCUCCUUUUUGCUUACUCCACUUCUUAAAUCUCCUCCUUGCUUACUACACUUCUUAAAUCCUAGAAAGCCUUGCUUUAGUGGUUAAUGUUAAAACUUCUUAAAUCUCCUCUUUCCUUACUCUACUUCUUAAAUCCUAUAAAAUUUGGUCUAGUAGUUAAGUUUGAAACUCCAAGAAUCAGAGGUCCAAGGUUCACUUCUCGUCUUUUCUCACUUCACUUCUUAAAUCCUACCAUUCAUCUGAUUUUUUUUUUUAAAAAAAAACUAUAUAAAUGUUUUUGAGUUUAUUUUCAAAAGACUCACUUCUUAAAUCCUGCCCUUACUCUGUUUUUCAAAAAACUUCAUUAACAAAUAUGCACUUUGAUUAGGAACGUGCAGCUUCUUGUCUGUCUGGUUUAUCUCUAAAGUAUUCCAGCCGUUAUUCUAGAUUUAUCAUGGCUAGUUAAAUUCAAAUGCUAUGUAGUAAUGAUUCCUCUGAUGUAGAAGUGGGUUUUUCUCCCUCCACCGCAAUUGAGUUUGAUUCUCCCUUAGUAUAUAAUAAUGUAGAAUUAGUGUAGAUGCUGUGGAUUCACGAAAUAAUUAAAUAAAAAAAAUAGAGAUGAAACUUCAACGGAUUAAGGGCUCAUAAUUUGUCGCAUAAUUAUUCUUGCGAAACUUUCUGCAUCCGUCUGUUGAAGCUCAAAUUUGGCAGCAAAACCAUAUCCGUUGAGGUUAACUUUGAAAUCGUAAUCCGUAUUGAAAUCUAACUUUGAAGUAAAUGUGUUGAGGUACGAUUUCUGAUUUAAUUUAGAGUAAAGAUAUCAUUGUUGAGAGGACGAAUAUGACUUUAUACUCUUGAAACUUGUAUCACUUGCUUACUUUGCAUUCUAAAACUUCAAUGCUAAUCACUUUACAUCCUAAAUUCUCAAUUUUUAACAUUUUACGCCCUAAAUUUCAAUUUUAUUCAUAGUAAUAGAAUACAUAACUACUUUAAAUAGUUAAAACCUUUCGCUUUCUUUUUUUUUUUUAAUUCUAAGUAAAUUAUUAUUAGAGUAAGUUGUUGGAAAAAUGGCUAUAUUCAUUGUAGAGUGAAUGAGAAAAUUGUUCUCAUAAUGGCACUCUUGAAAGAAUCCAGGAUAAUUAUCUAUCAUUCAUUCAUGUAUAUAGGAUUCAUGUAUAUUAAUUAUUGAUACAUGAUUUUGGAUAGGAUUCAUGUGUAUUAAUUAUUGAUACAUGAUUUUGGAUAGGAUUCAUUUGGGGUUAUCUUAUUGAGAUACAUGUAUGUACAUGAAUGUGGUCCUUUGAUAAACGUGAAGAUAAUUAUCUGGAAUUUAACACUUGUUGCCAAUUUCUAACAGUCACCCUUGGCCAGCAUCUAUAAAUAUCUCUUUUGUUUCAAAAGAAAGCGCGCUCUCUCUCUCCUUUUCCUUCUUGCAUCUGCAUCUUUUAUAGUGUUCCAUAUUGCUCUAGUUCGAGUUCGCUGGGGUGAAGAACGUUUGGUGCUGACAUAUUCGCCUUUAAUCCGUUGUAUCCUGGGAGACAGACGCCUACUCAACCUCAAGCACUCUACCUGGAGGGGGCGAAUCUGUUUUAAGGAAAUUGUGCUCACAAGCCUCGGAUUGUUAUUAUUAUUUUUCGAUCAUUUCUUUCUUUCUGGGUUGUAUUUAUUCUUCUCUAUUGUGUAUCAGCCUAUAUCUUUUAUUAUUUCACUAACAGUCUUAAAACAGAUUCGGUUCUCAAUGGCUGACAAUACAGGAAGAGAAACCAACACAUCUACUGUUGAUGCCUCUGCCUCUGGCACAAUUGUGAAACAACCUGAAGGAAAGAUUACUCCUACGGUUUCUACCAACCAUAGUGAGAAACCUGAGAAGUUCCAUGGCUCGAACUUCAAGACAUGGCAACAAAAGAUGUUGUUCUAUUUGACAACAUUGAAUCUCUCGAGAUUCUUAAGUGAGGAUGCUCCAAAGCUGCCUGGAGGCUUAACUGAUGCACAAGCUGUCAGUCCUAUUGAUGCUUGGAAGCACUCCGAUUUUCUUUGUCGAAAUUAUGUCAUGAACUGCUUGCAUGACUCGCUGUAUAACGUGUAUCAAAUACACAAGACGGCUAAGGGAGACAUGGAAAACAUGAACCUGACUGCUAUGGUUUCUGAAGUAAAUAUGAUAGGGUCAAAUCCGAAAGAAUGGUGGAUUGACACUGGAGCUACAAGACAUGUUUGUACAAACAAAGACUUGUUCACUACCUUCGAAAAAAUUGAAGGAGAAAAAAUGUUCAUGGGGAACUCUGCCUCAUCUGCUAUUGAAGGUCAAGGGAAGGUGUUACUAAAGAUGACUUCUGGCAAAACAUUGACUUUGAACGAUGUUUUGUAUGUGCCAGAAAUCCGCAAGAACCUUGUUUCUGGAUCGUUGCUGAACAAGCAUGGCUUUCGCAUGGUUUUUGAAUCGGAUAAAGUUAUAUUAUCCAAAUCUGGGAUGUAUGUAGGGAAAGGAUAUACAACCGAUGGGUUGUUCAAAUUGAAUGUACUGACUAUUGUGAAUAAUAAGAAUAAGUCUUCUGCUUAUUUGCUUGAGUCUUCCAAUUUAUGGCAUGGUAGACUAGGUCAUGUUAAUUAUGAUACUUUGCGUAGACUAAUUAACUUGGAUCAUAUUCCUUCCUUUCACAUCAAUUCAAACCAUAAAUGCGAGAUUUGCGUAGAAGCAAAAUUAACAAGGUCAUCCUUUCAAACAAUUGAAAGAAACACCGAACCCCUUGAAUUGAUUUACACAGAUGUCUGUGAUUUGAAAUUUGUUCAAACAAGAGGUGGUAAUAAAUAUUUUAUCACUUUCAUUGAUGAUUGCACAAAAUACUGUUAUGUGUAUUUGCUCAAAAGUAAAGAUGAAGCCUUGGAAAAUUUCAUUCUCUACAAGAAUGAAGUUGAAAAUCAACUUAACCGGAGAAUUAAAAGGUUAAGAAGUGAUAGAGGUGGUGAAUAUGAAACACCUAUUGGUGAUGACUGUGCAAAAUAUGGAAUUGUUCAUGAAGCUAUUUUGUCAAGCAAUUACCUUUUAAAUAGGGUACCCCGGAAAAAAUAAGAUAAAACUCCUUAUGAGUUAUGAAAAGGUAGGAGACCAUCCUACAAAUACUUGAAAGUGUGGGGGUGUCUUGCAAAAGUGGCUAUUCCAGUACCAAAGAGAAUAAAGAUAGGUCCUAGAACUGUGGACUGUAUCUUUAUAGGCUAUGCACAUAAUAGUACUGUUUAUCGAUUUCUUGUGUACAAUUCAGAAAUUUCGAAUAUACACAAAAAUACGAUAAUGGAAUCAAGGAAUGUUUCAUUCUUUGAAGAUGUGUUUCCUUGUAAAUCGAUUGGUGCAUCAAGUUCAUCAAAACGAACACAUGAAGUUAUGAAUCAAGAAAAUCAUGAUCAUGACUUGAUUCAACAAGAUGAACCGAGACGUAGCAAAAGGGUUAGAGUGGAAAAAUCAUUACCUUUUAAGCAAUUACCUUUUAAAUAGGGUACCCCGGAAAAAACAAGAUAAAACUCCUUAUGAGUUAUGGAAAGGUAGGAGACCAUCCUACAAAUACUUGAAAGUGUGGGGGUGUCUUGCAAAAGUGGCUAUUCCAGUACCAAAGAGAAUAAAGAUAGGUCCUAGAACUGUGGACUGUAUCUUUAUAGGCUAUGCACAUAAUAGUACUGCGUAUCGAUUUCUUGUGUACAAUUCAGAAAUUUCGAAUAUACACAAAAAUACGAUAAUGGAAUCAAGGAAUGUUUCAUUCUUUGAAGAUGUGUUUCCUUGUAAAUCGAUUGGUGCAUCAAGUUCAUCAAAACGAACACAUGAAGUUAUGAAUCAAGAAAAUCAUGAUCAUGACUUGAUUCAACAAGAUGAACCGAGACGUAGCAAAAGGGUUAGAGUGGAAAAAUCAUUUGGAGAUGAUUUUACAACUUUUCUAUUAGAAAAGGAACCACAAACCUAUACAGAAGCUGUAAGUUCUUCUGAAGGAUUUUUGUGGAAAGAAGCAAUAAAAAGUGAGGUUGAUUCUAUUUUACAGAAUCAUACAUGGGAGUUAGUGGAUCUUCCUCCUGGCUGUAGACCUUUAGGGUCCAAAUGGAUCUUUAAAAGGAAAAUGAAACCUGAUGGCUCUGUCGAUAAGUACAAAGCCAGACUUGUAAUCAAAGGAUACAAGCAACAAGAAGGUUUGGAUUAUUUUGAUACUUAUUCUCCUGUUACGAGAAUAAACUCUAUUAGAAUGAUUCUUGCUAUCGCUGCAUUGAGAAAUCUGGAGAUACAUCAAAUGGAUGUAAAGACGGCUUUCUUAAAUGGAGAUUUAGAUGAAGAAAUCUACAUGGAGCAACCUGAGGGUUUCAUAACUCCGGGAGCAAGAAAUAAAGUUUGUAAAUUAGUCAAAUCAUUGUAUGGACUAAAACAAGUGCCAAAGAAAUGGCAUGAAAAGUUCGACAAUGCAAUGAUAACUAAUGGAUACAGAAUAAAUGAGUGUGACAAAUGUGUCUACACUAAAGAAACAGACAAUGGCUAUGUCAUCUUAUGUCUUUAUGUAGAUGACAUACUUAUUGUUGGUAGUAAUGACAAAAUGGUCAAGUCUACCAAGGACAUGUUGAAUUCAAAAUUUGACAUGAAAGAUAUGGGGCUUGCUGAUGUAAUUUUAGGAGUUAAAAUUACAAGAAUAUCAGACGGGUUGGUCUUGAGUCAAACUCAUUAUGUGGACAAGAUUCUAGAAAAAUUCAAUAAGGAUGAUUCUGGAAUUGCAAGAACUCCAUUAGACAAUAGUUUCCAUCUAUCUAAGAAUAGAGGAGAGAGUAUUUCUCAAGCAGAAUACUCAAGAAUCAUUGGCAGUCUAAUGUAUUUAAUGAGUUGUACUAGACCUGACAUUGCAUAUGUAGUAAGCAAAUUGAGCGGAUUUACAAGCAAUCCGAGUGCUGAUCAUUGGAAAGCAAUUUUAAGGGUACUUAAAUACCUACGGUACACUCGGAACUAUGGACUGCAUUACACUAGAUACCCUACUGUUUUAGAAGGGUACGCUGAUGCAAAUUGGAUAUCUGAUAUAAAGGAUUCAAAAUUCACAAGUGGAUAUGUGUUCACACUUGCCAGUGGGGCAGUAUCUUGGAAGUCUUCUAAACAAACUAUUGUAGCUAGAUCUACAAUGGAAUCUGAGUUCAUUGCCUUGGACAAAUGUGGAGAAGAAGCUGAAUGGCUCCACCAUUUCCUUGAAGACAUUCCAAAAUGGGAAAAACCUGUGCCACCAAUAUGUAUUCACUGUGAUAGUCAAUCAGCAAUUGGAAGAGCACAGAAUAACAUUUAUAAUGGUAAGUCUAGACAUAUACGUCGUAGGCAUAAUACCAUUAGACAACUACUCUCAACAGGAGUUAUCUCUAUUGAUUAUGUGAAAUCAAAGGAUAACAUAGCGGAUCCGCUAACCAAAGGAUUGAAUAGAGAGUUGGUUGCAAAAAUGGCAAAGGGAAUGGGACUAAAGCCCAUGGAAGGCUAAGUGUUAUAAAGGAAACCCAACCUAGCUGACUGGAGAUCCCAAGAUCUAGGUUCAAAGGGACAACCUAAUUAUAAGGACUUAGCAUAGUCAUUGUGGGGGGAUAUCCCUAGACCCAUUCCAUAAUGAAACAAUGACGCAAAGGAGAAUUAAGGAUAGCACGAUGGUGUGCUUUAAUGAUUCUUAAGUGAAGUAAUUAAUUACUGAAGACUUAAGUAAAUCACCUAUGUGAGAGUGAAGUGGGGCCGCUUCAAAAGAGAAUUGUUUAGGGCUCAAUUCUUAAAAAACUCUUGCUGAACCAGGUUGAUGUUCAUGGCCAAAACGAACAUAACUAUGAGAACUGAACAAAUGGAGCAUGAUUCCUGUGUGAAAUAUAUGGUUCAUUUACACUAAAAAGCGGGACAGUUCAAAGACAUCAAGUCUACUGGAUUGCUAGUAAAGUAAGUAUAUUUCACAAGAGAAGGUUCAAAGGGUAACACCAACCUAUCUUAUGCAGGUUUCAGUCGUGGAACACUACUGUAGAGUCAAAUCAAAACAAAUUUUCCAUUCAUGUGGGGGAUUGUUGGAAAAAUGGCUAUAUUCAUUGUAGAGUGAAUGAGAAAAUUGUUCUCAUAAUGGCACUCUUGAAAGAAUUCAGGAUAAUUAUCUAUCAUUCAUUCAUGUAUAUAGGAUUCAUGUAUAUUAAUUAUUGAUACAUGAUUUUGGAUAGGAUUCAUGUGUAUUAAUUAUUGAUACAUGAUUUUGGAUAGGAUUCAUUUGGGGUUAUCUUAUUGAGAUACAUGUAUGUACAUGAAUGUGGUCCUUUGAUAAACGUGAAGAUAAUUAUCUGGAAUUUAACACUUGUUGCCAAUUUCUAACAGUCACCCUUGGCCAGCAUCUAUAAAUAUCUCUUUUGUUUCAAAAGAAAGCGCGCUCUCUCUCUCCUUUUCCUUCUUGCAUCUGCAUCUUUUAUAGUGUUCCAUAUUGCUCUAGUUCGAGUUCGCUGGGGUGAAGAACGUUUGGUGCUGACAUAUUCGCCUUUAAUCCGUUGUAUCCUGGGAGACAGACGCCUACUCAACCUCAAGCACUCUACCUGGAGGGGGCGAAUCUGUUUUAAGGAAAUUGUGCUCACAAGCCUCGGAUUGUUAUUAUUAUUUUUCGAUCAUUUCUUUCUUUCUGGGUUGUAUUUAUUCUUCUCUAUUGUGUAUCAGCCUAUAUCUUUUAUUAUUUCAC
This 6677-nucleotide long non-coding RNA is filed under the name Coffea arabica (coffee). RNAcentral describes it as "long non-coding RNA (CARA_LNC000434)". The record is from RNAcentral. Lineage: Eukaryota; Viridiplantae; Streptophyta; Magnoliopsida; Gentianales; Rubiaceae.